AUGAACGCUGGCGGCAUGCCUAAUACAUGCAAGUCGAACGAAGAAAUGUUGCUUGAAGGUGCUUGCACCGGAUAGUUGCUUUCUUAGUGGCGAACGGGUGAGUAACACGUAGGUAACCUGCCUAGUAGUUGGGAAUAACAAUGGGAAACCGUUGCUAAUACCGAAUAUGAAUUCGAAGGGCAUCCUUUGAAUUUGAAAGGGGCUUUCAAGCCUCGCUAUUAGAUGGACCUGCGGCGCAUUAGCUAGUUGGUGAGAUAACAGCUCACCAAGGCGAGGAUGCGUAGCCCGACCUGAGAGGGUGAUCGGCCACAAUGGGACUGAGACACGGCCCAUACUCCUACGGGAGGCAGCAGUAGGGUAGUUUUCGGCAAGUGGGGGAACCCUGACCGAGCAAUGCCGCGUGUAAGUUAUGAAGGUCUUAUGGAUCGUAAGGCUCUGUUGGUAGGGGAUAGAAACGUCUAGGGAAGGAAAUGUCCUAGACUUGACAGUACCUUACCAGAAAGCCACGGCUAACUACGUGCCAGCCGCGGC
RNAcentral lists this ribosomal RNA (531 nucleotides) under uncultured bacterium. RNAcentral describes it as "bacterial SSU rRNA". It matches the Rfam family "Bacterial small subunit ribosomal RNA", at positions 29 to 518 of the family's 1533-position model. The record is from RNAcentral.